Thalassophryne amazonica is the source of this 179-nucleotide long non-coding RNA. RefSeq lists it as uncharacterized. The record is from RefSeq and is a predicted model, not a curated record. The transcript is spliced from 5 exons. Lineage: Eukaryota; Metazoa; Chordata; Actinopteri; Batrachoidiformes; Batrachoididae.
CUCUCUGGUUAUCAAUAUCUUGAGAGUAGGGGGACAUAGUAAGGUGCUGUUCUGUCAAUCAUUCCAUCAACUGUAUUAUCAUUCCAGUUCUACCGAUUAGUACCCGCUGCCAACCGAAUAUCAUCUGAGUAUCUCAUUGCUGGGCCGAGUGUGCUGGUUUUUGUUCACUCUAUUUUAAG